AUGUUCUUCACGGCCCCAAUGCCCAGCCACAUUCAUAGUGAAAAGAACCAUGUCUCUACAAAAAAAACAUACAAGGUGAACCUACUGUACUACCUGGUACCUACACAUGGGGUCGUCAAUGCCGUCAUCCUGCCUGUUAUGCUGCCAUAUCAAGUUUGGGUUCAAAGGAGUCAAGUCAAAAAUCCCAACAAAGCUAUGCAUGAUCGACGUCUCUGUUUCUAUUUAUGGUGGGCAAGGAGGAGAAGCGAUCUCUCUACCGUGGGCACCCUCUGCAGCUACUGCCGAAGUAUGAGCAAUCCCAGAUGCCUAGAUCAUAAAUCUCUUGCAAUUUUGGGCUUUUGA
This 342-nucleotide ribosomal RNA is filed under the name Triticum aestivum (bread wheat). RNAcentral's name for it is "partial small subunit ribosomal RNA". The record is from RNAcentral. Lineage: Eukaryota; Viridiplantae; Streptophyta; Magnoliopsida; Poales; Poaceae.